UACGAAGGGGGCUAGCGUUGCUCGGAAUGACUGGGCGUAAAGGGCGCGUAGGCGGUUUGGUUAGUUAGGCGUGAAAUUCCUGGGCUCAACCUGGGGGCUGCGCUUAAUACAGCCAGACUAGAGUGUGAAAGAGGGUCGUGGAAUUCCCAGUGUAGAGGUGAAAUUCGUAGAUAUUGGGAAGAACACCGGUGGCGAAGGCGGCGACCUGGUUCAUUACUGACGCUCAGGCACGAAAGCGUGGGGAGCAAACAGG
Molecule: ribosomal RNA, 253 nt
Filed under: uncultured bacterium
Lineage: Bacteria
Description: partial 16S ribosomal RNA
Rfam family: Bacterial small subunit ribosomal RNA
Source: RNAcentral